UUCCCCCCCCCCCUAAGGCGACCGGCCACACUGGGAUUGAGACACGGCCCCAGAUUCUUACGGGAGGCAGCAGUGGGGAAUAUUGCACAAUGGGCGAAAGCCUGAUGCAGCGACGCCGCGUGAGGGAUGACGGCCUUCGGGUUGUAAACCUCUUUCAGCAGGGAAGAAGCGAAAGUGACGGUACCUGCAGAAGAAGCGCCGGCUAACUACGUGCCAGCAGCCGCGGUAAUACGUAGGGCGCAAGCGUUGUCCGGAAUUAUUGGGCGUAAAGAGCUCGUAGGCGGCUUGUCACGUCGGUUGUGAAAGCCCGGGGCUUAACCCCGGGUCUGCAGUCGAUACGGGCAGGCUAGAGUUCGGUAGGGGAGAUCGGAAUUCCUGGUGUAGCGGUGAAAUGCGCAGAUAUCAGGAGGAACACCGGUGGCGAAGGCGGAUCUCUGGGCCGAUACUGACGCUGAGGAGCGAAAGCGUGGGGAGCGAACAGGAUUAGAUACCCUGGUAGUCCACGCCGUAAACGGUGGGCACUAGGUGUGGGCAACAUUCCACGUUGUCCGUGCCGCAGCUAACGCAUUAAGUGCCCCGCCUGGGGAGUACGGCCGCAAGGCUAAAACUCAAAGGAAUUGACGGGGGCCCGCACAAGCGGCGGAGCAUGUGGCUUAAUUCGACGCAACGCGAAGAACCUUACCAAGGCUUGACAUACACCGGAAAACCCUGGAGACAGGGUCCCCCUUGUGGUCGGUGUACAGGUGGUGCAUGGCUGUCGUCAGCUCGUGUCGUGAGAUGUUGGGUUAAGUCCCGCAACGAGCGCAACCCUUGUCCCGUGUUGCCAGCAGGCCCUUGUGGUGCUGGGGACUCACGGGAGACCGCCGGGGUCAACUCGGAGGAAGGUGGGGACGACGUCAAGUCAUCAUGCCCCUUAUGUCUUGGGCUGCACACGUGCUACAAUGGCCGGUACAAUGUGUUGCCGGCCUGAGAGGGGGAGCCAAUCCCAUAAAGCCAGUCGUCAGUCCGGAUCGCAGUUCUGCAAUUGGCCCGAUGCCC
RNAcentral lists this ribosomal RNA (1038 nucleotides) under Streptomyces rochei. RNAcentral's name for it is "bacterial SSU rRNA". It matches the Rfam family "Bacterial small subunit ribosomal RNA", at positions 283 to 1328 of the family's 1533-position model. Lineage: Bacteria; Bacillati; Actinomycetota; Actinomycetes; Kitasatosporales; Streptomycetaceae. The record is from RNAcentral.